GAGAUCCCGCCGCAGCGCCGGCUUACGCGGUUGCUAGGGCAACCGGGCGGCGCCAGCGCGAGCGGGAAGGGGGCGCCGGUCGAAUUUUUACGUGCUAGCCUGCGAGACUUGAGACUUCAGGCGUGGUCAUUCCUGAGCCCCACAGACCACGGCCUCUGCUCCAGUCGGUACUCCUGCCCCAGGGGGGCCAUGGGCCGGAUCUCGGGGCUCGUGCCCUCUCGCUUCCUGACGCUCCUGGCGCAUCUGGUGGUCGUCAUCACCUUGUUCUGGUCGCGGGACAGCAACAUCCAAGCCUGCCUGCCUCUCACGUUCACCCCCGAGGAGUACGAGAAGCAGGACAUUCAGCUCGUGGCAGCGCUGUCCGUCACUCUGGGCCUCUUUGCAGUGGAGCUGGCCGGUUUCUUCUCAGGGGUUUCCAUGUUCAACAGCACCCAGAGCCUCAUCUCCAUUGGGGCUCAUUGUAGUGCAUCUGUGGCCCUGUCCUUUUUCAUAUUCGAGCGUUGGGAGUGUACCACGUACUGGUACAUUUUCGCCUUCUGCAGUGCCCUCCCAGCUGUCACUGAAAUGGCAUUGUUCAUCAGCGUCUUUGGACUGAAAAAGAAACCUUUCUGAUCCCUUCGUGACGGGAACAUAGGGAUGACGGUUCGAGGAACAAGGGACCACUCACCAUUCCCGGACCGAGGAAGGCAGUCUUCAGCCCUCAAAUUGCAUUUGAUGGAGGAUGUCAGUGUUAGGGAGACCGGUCGUGUCGCGUUGACAGCGUCACCCUGGGCAGCCGGGAAAGAAGCGAUCUCCAGGAUUGUGACAAAAGGACUUUGUGGAAUGGCUCCUGUCGUUUGCUUCCAUUUGUGUAAAAAGUGGGAAAGCACAGACCAGCCCGUGGGAAAACCAUCUCUGGAAGGAGCCAAGGUACCUGGGAAGACUGGUGCUGGGGGCAGAAGCCGGGUGCCUGGGGGACUGGGGGGGAGGGGGACUUUCUCCGUGUGCUCUUUUGAACUCUGGGAAUUCUGAAGCACAUGCCUUUAAAAAGACAAACCGUGACAUUCUUGAAGAAUGUGAGCCUGCGGUUGCCGGUGCCCCCCAUCUGGAAAUGAAGCCAAGUCGGAGUCCAGCAAAGCUAGAAACAGAGACAGCAGACUCCCCGAUGAUGUCAUGGGAGUGCCUGGUUCCUGCUAUUUCCAGCUCCUGGUGUCAGCACAGUGCCUGGCAUCCGAGAAUGAAGGAGCCCUCAUUUCACGGAUGAGGAACACCGGGCCCCAGGAGAAAGCCAUUUGCCUCACGCAAAUAUGGAGAGCUGGGGCUAGAUAGGUCCCAAGUUUCCUGGCUGUCAGGCCAAAUCAGUCGCUCGAUUCAACAAGUCUUCAUUGAAUAUCUCCCACCUGCCAGGCUCCGGACAUGGCAUGUGAGACGGAAGGAAAUAAGGAUGAUGUGGCCCCUUGCCAACCACACAUACAGUCUGGACCCCCCUUCCCCCCAACAGAGGAACUUGUUAACUCCAGUGAGCCUCUAAGGAAUUGAGGGUUGCAGAGUCAGGCUGUGCGACCAGGAGGCCGCCCAGGCUCCCAGUCCCAGAAGACUGGGAUCUGCCUGCGUCUCGUCUUCCCCACACCAGGCUCUGGCGUAUGGCCUCCCCACCACCCAAGCCCACGCUGCUCUGUUUCCCAGAGGCAGGAGGCCCGGGCCUGCCCUGCUGCGGUGACAGGAGCCAGCUCCCUGGCCACACUGGUCACAGAUGAUCGGAGCUUCACCAGCUCAAACAGGGCUGUCCUCACAGGAACAGUGGGCACACGGGCCCUGCCUGAACCCAUUCUCCCCAAACAGGAGCCUAGGCGUUCACCGUUAGCGGUCCAUUUGCCUGCUGUGCUGUGUGUUUGUCUUUUAAAACACUCCUCACUGAAACUGUAGUUCACCAUCAUUCAUUCAUUAUUCAUCGGCCUGCCUUGUUUCUGGCACUGUGCUUGGGACUCAUGCAGGGAGAAUAGAUUAAAAAGGUACCGCUUUGUGUA
Molecule: RNA transcript, 2006 nt
Organism: Neofelis nebulosa (Clouded leopard)
Lineage: Eukaryota; Metazoa; Chordata; Mammalia; Carnivora; Felidae
Gene: TMEM107
Gene name: transmembrane protein 107
Exons: 7
Source: RefSeq, a predicted model, not a curated record